Molecule: ribosomal RNA, 353 nt
Filed under: uncultured bacterium
Lineage: Bacteria
Description: partial 16S ribosomal RNA
Rfam family: Bacterial small subunit ribosomal RNA
Source: RNAcentral
CCUACGGGCGGCAGCAGUGGGGAAUAUUGCACAAUGGGGGAAACCCUGAUGCAGCGACGCCGCGUGAAGGAAGAAGUAUUUCGGUAUGUAAACUUCUAUUAGCAGGGAAGAAAAUGACGGUAUCUAACUAAGAAGCACCGGCUAACUACGUGCCAGCAGCCGCGGUAAUACGUAGGGGGCAAGCGUUAUCCGGAUUUACUGGGGGUAAAGGGUGCGUAGGCGGGGAUGCAAGUCAGAAGUGAAAGCCCGGGGCUUAACUACGGGACUGCUUUUGAAACUGUGUUGCUAGAGUGCAGGAGAGGUAAGUGGAAUUCCUGGUGUAGCGGUGAAAUGCGUAGAUAUUAGGAGGAACA